CUUGUUUUAUACUUAUAUAUAUUUAAUUACACAAAUGUUAAGUAUCAUUUUGCAUAAUAGUUAACGCUAUUUUAAACGGUUCUAAAAAAAUUAUUAAUUACAUAAAUUCAUUUAUAUUUGAAGUGCGAGAAUUGUUCCUCCGGAAAAUAAUUUAACAGGGGAAAACAGAGUAGGAAGAGAGAGGAUUCCUUAAAGCCAAAGCUAUAUGAAGAACUCAAUGCACAAUAACCAUACCACGAGAAUUUAUAACUCCAAAAAUAAAUAUGAUUAACCAUUACUAAAUAAGAACAUUGUUGAAGUUAAACAAAGUACAGAAAAAAUAUCCAAACUAAACGAAUACCCACAAUCCAAAUUACACCAAAUUAGCUCCAUCCCCUGUUCCCAGCCCCUGUCAUUUUAGAGAGAGAACGAAAGAGAAUUUACAGACAAUCAUCUUCUCUCUCCUCAACCCAUUUUCUCUCUCUAGAUGAUGAUUCAGUCGGCAGUAAGAAUUCAAUGAAUGGAAACUCAUCAAAAGUGGCAGCCGCAACAGAGGAAGAAAAAACAGAGUGUUGAGACCAAAACAAUCCCCUCAAAAACAGAGACAAUUUUGAACAAAAAAUCAUCCACAACCCAAUUGGGCAAGCUGAAGGACACCGCCUUCUUCCAUCGUAACCCGGAACUCCUCCUGAAUCUCCUCCAUGAACAACCCUUCUUCCCUAAACUCUUGAACAAGAACAACAAAACAUUUUCCUUAUUACUACUACUAGUAUUCUCCAUGCCUCUGCUUUCUCUCUCUAAAUUCUAGCUUUCUUGUGAGUUUCUCUCUACUUUCUCUCUCUAAAUUCUUACUUUCUUGUGGGUUUGUGUUUGGACUUGAUGUGUUGGUAAGGGUUUUAUAAGGAGGGGAGUUUAGAAUAACUGUUCCGCGUUUAGUUGGCUGGGUCAAAAAGAUGGCUAACGUGUACUGGUAAUGGGGAAUUUUGGAGACUCUGUUUUGCUUUCUCCACUCCUUUUGUAACCGUUUAAGAACAUAACUAGAGUGGAA
Molecule: long non-coding RNA, 1027 nt
Filed under: Panax ginseng (ginseng)
Lineage: Eukaryota; Viridiplantae; Streptophyta; Magnoliopsida; Apiales; Araliaceae
Description: long non-coding RNA (PGIN_LNC017329)
Source: RNAcentral